AUGGCAGAUCCCGUCGUCGACAUCGACAAGGCGCUUAUCGCUUUAAAGAAAGGCACCCAGCUGCUUAAGUAUGGUCGCAAAGGGAAGCCAAAGUUUACUCCCUUCAGACUGUCAACUGAUGAAUCGACUCUUAUUUGGGUCUCAAGCAACCAAGAGAAAAGUUUAAAACUAGCUUCUGUGUCCAGAGUUCUCUCAGGACAAAGAACUCUGGUUUUCCAACGUUUUCUGCUCCCUGAGAAGGACCAUUUAUCCUUCUCUCUCAUAUAUAAAGAUGGCAAGCGAUCACUCGAUCUGAUCUGCAAGGAUAAGGUUGAAACACAGGUGUGGUUUACAUGCCUCAGUGCAUUGGUAUCUCCAGGCAAGCACAGAUCCCAACCCCAACACACUGACGAAAUGCGCAGUAGUGCCCUUUCUUUUGAUUGUGGCAGAGAAAGUAGCCUAAGCAGUAGCUCUACAUUUACCACUGAUUCCCUCGAGAACAAGUUGAGCUCAGCAAAUUCCAAGGACCGUUCUUCUGGGGAAUAUGCAUAUUCAGAAAGGACAGAUGUGUCAGAUAUGCAAGUGAAAAGUGUAUCUUCAUCAGACAUUCGAGUCAGUGUCUCCAGUGCUCUCAGCACAUCCAGCCAUGGUUCUGGUGGCGAGGAUUCUGAAUCGUUCGGGGAUGUUUAUGUCUGGGGAGAAGUCAUGUGUGACACCACUUCCAUAUCAGGGUCUGAUGGAAAUGCACUCUCCCCUGGUGCAACCACUGAUAUCCUUGUACCGAAGCCCCUAGAGUCAAAUGUAAUGCUUGAUGUCAGUUAUGUGGCUUGUGGUGUGAAGCAUGCUGCACUUAUCACAAGGCAGACAGAGGUAUUUACAUGGGGAGAAGAAUGCAGUGGGCGGCUUGGUCACGGGGCUGGUACAAGCAUUUUUCAACCACGUCUACUUGAGUCAUUGUCAACCUGCAAUGUUGAAAUAAUGGCCUGUGGUGAAUUCCAUACUUGCGCUGUUACAGCAACAGGUGACCUUUACACCUGGGGAGAUGGUACCCACAAUGCCGGACUCCUUGGUCAUGGUAGCACUGUGAGUCACUGGAUACCCAAAAGGGUUUCAGGUCCUCUGGAAGGCCUUCAGGUGUCGACUGUCUCUUGCGGAACAUGGCAUACUGCUUUGAUAACCACUUCUGGACUGUUGUACACAUUUGGCGAUGGCACAUUUGGAGCCCUAGGUCAUGGGAAUCGAGAAACUAUCUCAUAUCCAAAGGAAGUGGAGUCUUUGAAGGGUUUGCGGACGAUUUCUGUUUCAUGUGGGGUGUGGCAUAGUGCUGCUGUUGUUGAGGUUAUCAUGACACAGUCAAAUGCUUCAUCUGGAAAGCUAUUCACAUGGGGAGAUGGAGACAAAUAUCGGCUUGGGCAUGGUGACAGGGCUUCAAAACUCAAACCAACUUGUGUGUCUUCACUGAUAGACUACAACUUCCAUAAGUCGGCAUGUGGCCAUACUCUUACUAUUGGGUUGACAACUUCAGGGCACAUGUUUACCGUCGGGAGCUCUGUGUAUGGACAGCUUGGCAAUCCCAACAAUGAUGGAAGGUAUGCACGCCUAGUUGAAGAUAAGGUCGGGGGUGGUGGUGUUGUGGAGGUUGCUUGUGGAUCUUAUCAUGUUGCAGUUUUGACAAAUGCUGGUGAAGUUUACACAUGGGGUAAGGGUGCAAAUGGAAGACUGGGCCACGGCGAUAUUGCAGAUCGCAAGGUACCUACACUUGUGGAGGCUUUAAGGGAUAGGUCCGUAAAGCGCAUUGCUUGUGGAUCAGGCUUCACAGCUGCAAUCUGUCAGCAUAAAUGGGUGUCAGGGAUGGAGCAGUCUCAGUGCUCAGCAUGCAGACAGCCAUUCGGUUUCACUCGAAAGCGACACAACUGUUACCAUUGUGGCCUGGUACACUGUCAUUCAUGCAGUUCAAAGAAGGCCCUAAGAGCGGCGUUGUCUCCUAAUCCUGGAAAGCCAUACCGUGUGUGCGAUUCAUGUCAUAUGAAGCUAAGUAAAGUCAUGGAUUCUGGUGUCAGCUAUAGCAGGAACAAUAUACCUCGCGUACCAGGUGAUAUCAAGGCUGAGAGAAUGGACACAAAGGCAAGCAGAGUUGCAUCAUCUACCAGUUCGGAUAUGAUCAAGAGCUUGGACGUGAAGGCAGCAAAGCAGGCAAAAAGGUCUGAUCAUUCGCCGCAGUUCCCUGCAAUUUUGCAGAUGAAUGACGUCCCGUUCAUCGGAUCAGGUGACCUGCACAAUGCAGGUUUUACAGUAACAAACGGAUACCCGAAUGACCCCAGAUAUACGUCACAAUUUUUAAGAAUGCCGUACUUGAGUUCUCCGAGCUCGCUGUCUUCAGAAAGCCUUGAGAGUUUCAGAGAUGCGAACGAACUUUUGAAGCAAGAGGUUCAAAAACUAAAAGAAGAGGUUAAUAGCUUGAGACAGCAACGUGAACUGCAAGACGCCGAGUUGAAGAAGUCGGAGGCAAAAGCCAGUGAGGCCGCGGCCCUUGCUGCUGAAGAGGCGUCCAAAUCGAAGGCCGCAAAAGAGGUUAUAAAAUCACUAACGGCGCAGGUAAAAGAAAUGGCUGAGAGGCUUCCUGCAGGAGACUCUGACGUGAAGCCGCCACGGGUCCCGUAUCUACCUGCUGGUGGUGUAGUUUCUCCUGAAAUGGGGAGAGAAGGCCAGAAGAGAUAUGAGCCAGUAUCCAUUCAUUAUUCUCAGACACCGACUUCUGUCACGUCUGCUUGGUCUAACGGGCUCCCUCCCCAAGCCCAUCAAAUAGGUAAACCCAGCGACAACACGGUGGCUCCACAUGAGAACAUGUUUGAAAACUUCAACAAAAGCAGAGAUUUUCCAGCCACGCACCAGAGGACGAACAGCGCGAUGUCUGGGUAUCGUCCGAGAUCAGAGGAUUUUGACCGGCGGGAAACGGAAAGGUUCCAGAUAAACCUGCAAGACUGGAACACGAGAGGCUCCGGUUCACCCAAUAAUCAGGUCGAGUCCGAGUGGAUAGAACAGUUUGAACCUGGGGUGUACCUGACACUGGUUACUCUUCAUGAUGGAACCAAAGAGCUGAAAAGGGUGCGGUUCAGCCGGAGAAGAUUCGCGGAGCAUCAAGCGGAGUCGUGGUGGAGCGACAACCAUGAAAAGGUGUACGACAAGUACAACUUGCGGAGAACCGACCGGAUCUCAUCAGUGUUGACAUCAUAG
This 3213-nucleotide ribosomal RNA is filed under the name Triticum aestivum (bread wheat). Its description in RNAcentral is "partial small subunit ribosomal RNA". The record is from RNAcentral. Lineage: Eukaryota; Viridiplantae; Streptophyta; Magnoliopsida; Poales; Poaceae.